CUGCCCCAGGUCUAUGGAAUCAGAUUCCACAUUUAAGAAGAUCCCAUGGUGACUUCUGUGCAACUUCAAGUUGUCAAACCUUGUCUUAUAGACGCAUGGCUCACACCAGGCAGGAGAAUCCAGUACCUACCUCCUCCCUGCUUUGAGUUCAGCUCCAGAACGGUCAGCAAGGCUUAACGUCUGCUGGCCUCAGCUUCUUCAUCUGUACUAUGGGUAGUUCUGAACGGCUGCGCCUCCAGGCAUUGCCUUGAGGCUCCGGUGUGGUUCUGCAGGUGAAAAAGCUUGGCCAAACUC
Macaca mulatta (Rhesus monkey) is the source of this 294-nucleotide non-coding RNA. Lineage: Eukaryota; Metazoa; Chordata; Mammalia; Primates; Cercopithecidae. The record is from RefSeq and is a predicted model, not a curated record.